CCCAGACUCCUACGGGAGGCAGCAGUGGGGGAUAUUGCACAAUGGGGGGAACCCUGAUGCAGCGACGCCGCGUGGGUGAAGGAGCGUUUCGGCGCGUAAAGCCCUAUCGGCAGGGAAGAAGGAGGACGGUACCUGACUAAGAAGCCCCGGCUAACUACGUGCCAGCAGCCGCGGUAAUACGUAGGGGGCAAGCGUUAUCCGGAUUUACUGGGUGUAAAGGGGGCGCAGACGGCAGCGCAAGCCAGGAGUGAAAGCCCGGGGCCCAACCCCGGGACUGCUCUUGGAACUGCGCGGCUGGAGUGCAGGAGGGGCAGGCGGAAUUCCUGGUGUAGCGGUGAAAUGCGUAGAUACCAGGAGGAACACCGGUGGCGAAGGCGGCCUGCUGGACUGCGACUGACGUUGAGGCCCGAAAGCGUGGGGAGCAAACAGGAUUAGAUACCCCCGUAGA
This 448-nucleotide ribosomal RNA is filed under the name uncultured bacterium. Its description in RNAcentral is "partial 16S ribosomal RNA". It matches the Rfam family "Bacterial small subunit ribosomal RNA", at positions 330 to 794 of the family's 1533-position model. The record is from RNAcentral.